GUAAGCAGAGGUUGGCACACAUGUGCACAUGUGCAUGCAUGUGUGUGUACGUUCUAACCUGCCUUCUUAGAGACAAGUGCUGAUGUGCCACCCAGGUUGGAGUGCAAUGGUGUGAUCUCAGC
Sapajus apella (tufted capuchin) is the source of this 122-nucleotide long non-coding RNA. RefSeq lists it as uncharacterized. Lineage: Eukaryota; Metazoa; Chordata; Mammalia; Primates; Cebidae. The record is from RefSeq and is a predicted model, not a curated record. The transcript has 3 exons.